CCUGUGCACAGUCCAGAAACAGCUGCAGGGGCUCAGUGGAUGCGGUGCGGUCUCCCUUCUCAUACAGAUUCCCUGUGACCAUGCGUGUGCUUAGCGGAAGAGAGGAGCCUCUCCACAAUCUGCAAAGAUAAGGGGAGUGGCAGAGUUGGGGCAUGAGAUGGUGAAUCAUGUCUGUGCCGUGGAGCCCGUCGCAGGAGAAAGUGACUGACAGCCUGACUUGCAGCUGCGAGAAAGUGUCCUGGUAUCAUCAGAAUGGAGAAACCAACCCAUUAGAACUUAAAACAUACUUGCUGAAGAAGAUAUAAACUCCUUUGUCACUCCAAGAUCUUAGCGCAAACGAGGGGGACAUCACUGAACAUGGAAAUUGCUUCGUUAGAACAAGAUGGCCCUCAUCCCCUUUCCAGACUCUCUUAAUCGAUCCUCUUGUGAAUUCUUUGUAGAGUGGGUGUUUGUGGGAAUAAAUAAAAUGCAAUUUGUUAUCAA
Suricata suricatta (meerkat) is the source of this 483-nucleotide long non-coding RNA. RefSeq lists it as uncharacterized. The record is from RefSeq and is a predicted model, not a curated record. Lineage: Eukaryota; Metazoa; Chordata; Mammalia; Carnivora; Herpestidae. The transcript has 5 exons.